RNAcentral lists this transfer RNA (65 nucleotides) under Bdellovibrionales bacterium CG22_combo_CG10-13_8_21_14_all_38_13. RNAcentral describes it as "tRNA-Met". It matches the Rfam family "tRNA", at positions 5 to 66 of the family's 71-position model. Rfam says of the family: Transfer RNA (tRNA) molecules are approximately 80 nucleotides in length. Their secondary structure includes four short double-helical elements and three loops (D, anti-codon, and T loops). Further hydrogen bonds mediate the characteristic L-shaped molecular structure. tRNAs have two regions of fundamental functional importance: the anti-codon, which is responsible for specific mRNA codon recognition, and the 3' end, to which the tRNAs corresponding amino acid is attached (by aminoacyl-tRNA synthetases). tRNAs cope with the degeneracy of the genetic code in two manners: having more than one tRNA (with a specific anti-codon) for a particular amino acid; and 'wobble' base-pairing, i.e. permitting non-standard base-pairing at the 3rd anti-codon position. The record is from RNAcentral. Lineage: Bacteria; Pseudomonadati; Bdellovibrionota; Bdellovibrionia; Bdellovibrionales.
GGAUGGAGCAGUCUGGUAGCUCGUCGGGCUCAUAACCCGAAGGUCGUAGGUUCAAAUCCUACUCC